GAGGGUAUAGCUCAAGUGGUAGAGCGCAUGCUUAGCAUGCACAAGGUCCUGGGUUCAAUCCCAGUACCUCCA
Molecule: transfer RNA, 72 nt
Filed under: Camelus bactrianus (Bactrian camel)
Lineage: Eukaryota; Metazoa; Chordata; Mammalia; Artiodactyla; Camelidae
Also listed under: 2 other names
Rfam family: tRNA
About the family: Transfer RNA (tRNA) molecules are approximately 80 nucleotides in length. Their secondary structure includes four short double-helical elements and three loops (D, anti-codon, and T loops). Further hydrogen bonds mediate the characteristic L-shaped molecular structure. tRNAs have two regions of fundamental functional importance: the anti-codon, which is responsible for specific mRNA codon recognition, and the 3' end, to which the tRNAs corresponding amino acid is attached (by aminoacyl-tRNA synthetases). tRNAs cope with the degeneracy of the genetic code in two manners: having more than one tRNA (with a specific anti-codon) for a particular amino acid; and 'wobble' base-pairing, i.e. permitting non-standard base-pairing at the 3rd anti-codon position.
Source: Rfam by way of RNAcentral